GACGAACGCUGGCGGCGUGCCUAAUACAUGCAAGUGGGACGCAAGGAAACACACUGUGCUUGCACACCGUGUUUUCUUGAGUCGCGAACGGGUGAGUAACGCGUAGGUAACCAGCCUAUUAGCGGGGGAUAACUAUUGGAAACGAUAGCUAAUACCGCAUAAUAUUAAUUAUUGCAUGAUAAUUGAUUGAAAGAUGCAAGCGCAUCACUAGUAGAUGGACCUGCGUUGUAUUAGCUAGUUGGUAAGGUAAGAGCUUACCAAGGCGACGAUACAUAGCCGACCUGAGAGGGUGAUCGGCCACACUGGGACUGAGACACGGCCCAGACUCCUACGGGAGGCAGCAGUAGGGAAUCUUCGGCAAUGGACGAAAGUCUGACCGAGCAACGCCGCGUGAGUGAAGAAGGUUUUCGGAUCGUAAAGCUCUGUUGUAAGUCAAGAACGUGUGUGAGAGUGGAAAGUUCACACAGUGACGGUAGCUUACCAGAAAGGGACGGCUAACUACGUG
Molecule: ribosomal RNA, 505 nt
Filed under: uncultured bacterium
Lineage: Bacteria
Description: partial 16S ribosomal RNA
Rfam family: Bacterial small subunit ribosomal RNA
Source: RNAcentral